This 115-nucleotide ribosomal RNA is filed under the name Callorhinchus milii (elephant shark). The record is from RNAcentral. Lineage: Eukaryota; Metazoa; Chordata; Chondrichthyes; Chimaeriformes; Callorhinchidae.
ACUGGCCAUACUGUUCUAGCUGUACCCAAAUCAUCUGAUCUCGGAAGCCAAGCAGAAUUAGGCUGCGUUAGUGCUUGGAUAAGACACAGCCUGGGAUUACCAGAUGCUGUAGGUU